GGGGCUCAGUGCCCAGGACUGCGGCAGGAAGCACCAAGGCUUCCCUAGCCCCUCCUCACACCCACCAAGCCUCCCGGCCCUAUCCCGGGUGGGACCCUACCCCUCCCAAUUCCCAGGAGUUAGGGGAGGCCAAGCUGUCAUUUAUUCGUCCUGUCCCAUCUCUCCCUUCCUCCCGCUUCCCACUCCCCUGGCAACCAAACCAGACCCAUCAAGGAGAAGGAACUGGCAGCUGUGCAGGGAGAGACUAAUGGCCCGGAAGGAAGGAGGGGCCUGGAAAGGAGACGAAGGCGGUCCCAUCUGAGGCAGACCUGUCUCACAGGACAGCGCUGGAGUCCCCAGCAGCAGCAGCAGCCCCAGCCCUAUGGUUCCUGGCAAACCCAGCAGACCUCAGCAACCCGGCUCCUGCAGACCAUCCGAGCUGCCUCUGUCCACUCCUGGGCAGGUUGUGCUUGCAUUCUGGAAGCUGUUUGACAUACAAAGGCCAGAUAUCAGCCUUCUCGCUAACUCUGGAGUAGGGGAGGGUGUGGUGGGAUGUGUGAUUGUGUGUGUAUGUGUGUGUAUGUA
Homo sapiens (human) is the source of this 564-nucleotide long non-coding RNA. NCBI's taxonomy places the organism in Eukaryota, Metazoa, Chordata, Mammalia, Primates, Hominidae. The record is from Ensembl.